Molecule: ribosomal RNA, 486 nt
Filed under: uncultured bacterium
Lineage: Bacteria
Description: partial 16S ribosomal RNA
Rfam family: Bacterial small subunit ribosomal RNA
Source: RNAcentral
AUUGAACGCUGGCGGCAUGCCUUACACAUGCAAGUCGAACGGCAGCACGGGUGCUUGCCCCUGGUGGCGAGUGGCGAACGGGUGAGUAAUACAUCGGAACAUGUCCUGUAGUGGGGGAUAGCCCGGCGAAAGCCGGAUUAAUACCGCAUACGAUCUACGGAUGACAGCGGGGGACCUUCGGGCCUCGCGCUAUAGGGUUGGCCGAUAGCUGAUUAGCUCGUUGGUGGGGUAAAGGCCUACCAAGGCGACGAUCAGUAGCUGGUCUGAGAGGACGACCAGCCACACUGGGACUGAGACACGGCCCAGACUCCUACGGGAGGCAGCAGUGGGGAAUUUUGGACAAUGGGCGAAAGCCUGAUCCAGCAAUGCCGCGUGUGUGAAGAAGGCCUUCGGGUUGUAAAGCACUUUUGUCCGGAAAGAAAUCCUUGGCUCUAAUACAGUCGGGGGAUGACGGUACCGGAAGAAUAAGCACCGGCUAACUACGUG